RNAcentral lists this ribosomal RNA (447 nucleotides) under uncultured bacterium. Its description in RNAcentral is "bacterial SSU rRNA". It matches the Rfam family "Bacterial small subunit ribosomal RNA", at positions 355 to 825 of the family's 1533-position model. The record is from RNAcentral.
UAACGAAUCUUCCGCAAUGGGCGAAAGCCUGACGGAGCAAUGCCGCGUGUGGGAUGAAGCGCCUUCGGCGUGUAAACCACUGUCAGGGAAUGGAACCAAUGAUUAUUCCCAAAGGAAGUGGCGACUAACUCUGUGCCAGCAGUCGCGGUAAUACAGAGGCCACAAGCGUUAGUCGGAAUCACUGGGCUUAAAGGGUGCGUAGGCGGGCCCGCAAGCGUCUUGUGAAAUCCCAUGGCUCAACCAUGGAAUUGCAGGGCGAACUGCGGGUCUUGAGGCAGGUAGGGGCCGGAAGAACAGUAGGUGGAGCGGUGAAAUGCGUAGAUAUCUACUGGAAUGCCGAUGGGGAAGCCGUCCGGCUGGGCCUGUCCUGACGCUGAGGUGCGAAAGCGUGGGGAGCAAACAGGAUUAGAUACCCCCGUAGUCCCUGAGCGGGCUGGCAAGGCGCAU